RNAcentral lists this ribosomal RNA (490 nucleotides) under uncultured bacterium. RNAcentral describes it as "partial 16S ribosomal RNA". It matches the Rfam family "Bacterial small subunit ribosomal RNA", at positions 30 to 507 of the family's 1533-position model. The record is from RNAcentral.
AUUGAACGCUGGCGGCAGGCCUAACACAUGCAAGUCGAACGGUAACAGGAAGAAGCUUGCUUCUUUGCUGACGAGUGGCGGACGGGUGAGUAAUGUCUGGGAACCUGCCUGAAGGAGGGGGAUAACUACUGGAAACGGUAGCUAAUACCGCAUAAUGUCGCCAGACCAAAGAGGGGGACCUUCGGGCCUCUUGCCAUCGGAUGUGCCCAGAUGGGAUUAGCUAGUAGGUGGGGUAACGGCUCACCUAGGCGACGAUCCCUAGCUGGUAUGAGAGGAUGACCAGCCACACGGGAACUGAGACACGGUCCAGACUCCUACGGGAGGCAGCAGUGGGGAAUAUUGCACAAUGGGCGAAAGCCUGAUGCAGCUAUGCCGCGUGUAUGAAGAAGGCCUUCGGGUGGUAAAGUACUUUCAGCGGGGAGGAAGGGAGUAAAGUUAAUACCUUUGCUCAUUGACGUUACCCGCAGAAGAAGCACCGGCUAACUCCGUG